RNAcentral lists this ribosomal RNA (253 nucleotides) under uncultured bacterium. RNAcentral's name for it is "partial 16S ribosomal RNA". It matches the Rfam family "Bacterial small subunit ribosomal RNA", at positions 524 to 776 of the family's 1533-position model. The record is from RNAcentral.
UACGUAGGGGGCAAGCGUUGUCCGGAUUUAUUGGGCGUAAAGAGCGUGUAGGCGGUUUGGUAGGUCCGUUGUGAAAACUCGAGGCUCAACCUCGAGACGCCGAUGGAAACCAUCAGACUAGAGUCCGGAAGAGGAGAGUGGAAUUCCUGGUGUAGCGGUGAAAUGCGCAGAUAUCGUCAAGAACACCGAUAGUGAAGACAGCUAACUAGACUUAUACUGACGCUGAGGCACGAAAGUGUGGGGAUCAAACAGG